GGUCAAUAGCCUAACGGCUGAACCCGCAACUUGGAGGAAUGUAUAGCAAUAGCUACUUGCAUCAUUGUAAAAAUGAUGCAGGAUCGACUAUGUCGAAUAAAAUUCUAGGUAGUAUUUUGAUGAUGACAGUUUCUGCCUAUGUGUCUUGACCAAAUUACGUGCCAGCAGUCGCGGUAAUACGUAGAAGACUAGUGUUAUUCAUGUUUAAUCGGUUUAAAGGGUACCUAGACGGUAAAUCAAGCCUAAAAUUAAGUGAAGGGACUAAUUUACUAGAGUUACUUACGAGGGGGUAUUAAAGUACUGCUGGUGUAGAGAUGAAAUUCUGUCAUACCUCUUUUCAAUAGAAAAAUAAUGGCACAGGUAUAGGCGAAAGCAUCCCCUUAUGUGAUAACUGACGUUGAGGGACGAAGGCUUUGUGUAGCGAACAGGAUUAGAUACCCCAGUAGUCAAAGCAGAAAAUGAUGAAUGUCAUAGAUUAGAUAUAUAAGUUUAUUCUAUAAAUGAAAGUGUAAGCAUUCCACCUCAAGAGUAAUUUGGCAACAUUGGAACUGAAAUCAUUAGACCGUUUCUGAAACCAGUAGUGAAGUAUGUUGUUUAAUUUGAUGAUCCGCAAAAAACCUUACCACAAUUUGAAUAUUUAUAUCUAUUAUUGUUUUUUAUUUUCUUCUGAUUUGAUUUUUCUUUUUCUAAAGAAAAAAAAAAGAAAAAAAGAAAAAAAGAAAAAGAGGCGAUAUGAUAUAUUUACAAGCGUUGCACGGCUGUCUUCAGUUAAUGUCGCGAGACUUUGGUUAGUUCCAUUAAAUUAACGUAAACCCUUACUUUAUUUUUAUAUAGAGUAGUUCCCCGCUAUAUUGGAUAUGAUAACAGGGACUAAGACAAGUCAUCAUGCCCUAAAUAUUGUGGGCU
Molecule: ribosomal RNA, 906 nt
Filed under: Hypogymnia hengduanensis
Lineage: Eukaryota; Fungi; Ascomycota; Lecanoromycetes; Lecanorales; Parmeliaceae
Description: partial small subunit ribosomal RNA
Rfam family: Bacterial small subunit ribosomal RNA
Source: RNAcentral